UUUUGCUCCUGCACAUCGAGGCGUAAGCGGGAAGUACGACUGCCUGCUAUCCAGACUAGCCUACAUAUGCAGAUUUCUCAGCAUUUCAUAGGUUUUUAAAAAUGCCCAGAAGUAUUAGGAUGGUUUUAGCAGACAUGCUGGAGGACCUGUCAAAGUCAGAGAGACAGCUGGAGGACAUUAGACAUCUCCCUCUGACAUUGCAAGACCCUCAGCAGGAGCCGCCUUGGUGGGAAAAG
Molecule: non-coding RNA, 236 nt
Organism: Epinephelus lanceolatus (giant grouper)
Lineage: Eukaryota; Metazoa; Chordata; Actinopteri; Perciformes; Serranidae
Source: RefSeq, a predicted model, not a curated record